UAAAAUGCAUCCACAUAAAUUAAAAGAUCAACAGUCAGCCAGUAAAAAACUGCAAAAUGCAACUUGGAAAUGAAAUAUUCAAUGCAAAAGAGAAGAAAUUGCAAAGCAGCACAUAAAUUAACAAUGCAUAACUUAAAUGAAAUUGAAAAAUCAUAACCCAUAUUCCGUGAUGAUAUGCAUUUGAAGACGCAAAUAAUGCA
RNAcentral lists this long non-coding RNA (200 nucleotides) under Vigna radiata. RNAcentral describes it as "long non-coding RNA (VRAD_LNC013236)". The record is from RNAcentral. Lineage: Eukaryota; Viridiplantae; Streptophyta; Magnoliopsida; Fabales; Fabaceae.